AGGAAGAAGAUAUGACGGUACUUGAAGAAUAAGCCACGGCUAAUUCCGUGCCAGCAGCCGCGGUAAUACGGGAGUGGCAAGCGUUAUCCGGAAUUAUUGGGCGUAAAGCGUCCGCAGGCGGCUUAUCAAGUCUGCUGUUAAAGCGUGGAGCUUAACUCCAUCAAGGCAGUGGAAACUGAUAGGCUUGAGUAUGGUAGGGGCAGAGGGAAUUUCCGGUGUAGCGGUGAAAUGCGUAGAUAUCGGGAAGAACACCAGUGGCGAAGGCGCUCUGCUGGGUUAUUACUGACGCUCAUAGACGAAAGCCAGGGUAGCAAAUGGGAUUAGAUA
This 327-nucleotide ribosomal RNA is filed under the name uncultured Prochlorococcus sp. RNAcentral's name for it is "bacterial SSU rRNA". It matches the Rfam family "Bacterial small subunit ribosomal RNA", at positions 442 to 784 of the family's 1533-position model. The record is from RNAcentral. Lineage: Bacteria; Bacillati; Cyanobacteriota; Cyanophyceae; Synechococcales; Prochlorococcaceae.